Molecule: ribosomal RNA, 583 nt
Filed under: uncultured bacterium
Lineage: Bacteria
Description: partial 16S ribosomal RNA
Rfam family: Bacterial small subunit ribosomal RNA
Source: RNAcentral
UGGGGAAUUUGGACAAUGGGUGAAGCCUGAUCCAGCAAUGCCGCGUGUGUGAAGAAGGCCUUCGGGUUGUAAAGCACUUUUGUCCGGAAAGAAAUCCUUGGCUCUAAUACAGUCGGGGGAUGACGGUACCGGAAGAAUAAGCACCGGCUAACUACGUGCCAGCAGCCGCGGUAAUACGUAGGGUGCAAGCGUUAAUCGGAAUUACUGGGCGUAAAGCGUGCGCAGGCGGUUUGCUAAGACCGAUGUGAAAUCCCCGGGCUCAACCUGGGAACUGCAUUGGUGACUGGCAGGCUAGAGUAUGGCAGAGGGGGGUAGAAUUCCACGUGUAGCAGUGAAAUGCGUAGAGAUGUGGAGGAAUACCGAUGGCGAAGGCAGCCCCCUGGGCCAAUACUGACGCUCAUGCACGAAAGCGUGGGGAGCAAACAGGAUUAGAUACCCUGGUAGUCCACGCCCUAAACGAUGUCAACUAGUUGUUGGGGAUUCAUUUCCUUAGUAACGUAGCUAACGCGUGAAGUUGACCGCCUGGGGAGUACGGUCGCAAGAUUAAAACUCAAAUGAAUUGACGGGGUCAUAGCUGUUUCCU